Molecule: ribosomal RNA, 1260 nt
Filed under: Pseudocyphellaria rainierensis
Lineage: Eukaryota; Fungi; Ascomycota; Lecanoromycetes; Peltigerales; Lobariaceae
Description: LSU rRNA
Rfam family: Eukaryotic large subunit ribosomal RNA
Source: RNAcentral
CAGGGAUUGCCUCAGUAACGGCGAGUGAAGCGGCAACAGCUCAAAUUUGAAAUCUGACCCCGUCAGGGGCCCGAGUUGUAAUUUGUAGAGGACGCUUCGGGCGCGGCGCCGGUCUAAGUUCCUUGGAACAGGACGUCGCAGAGGGUGAGAAUCCCGUACGUGACCGGCGACCAAGCCCAUGUGAAGCCCCUUCGACGAGUCGAGUUGUUUGGGAAUGCAGCUCAAAACGGGUGGUAAAUUUCAUCUAAAGCUAAAUAUUGGCCAGAGACCGAUAGCGGACAAGUAGAGUGAUCGAAAGAUGAAAAGCACUUUGGAAAGAGAGUCAAACAGUACGUGAAAUUGUUGAAAGGGAAGCGCUUGCGACCAGACCGGUCCGGGGGCGAUCAGCCGCUGCUCGUCAGCGGUGCACUCGCCCCCGAUCCGGCCAGCAUCGGUUCGGGCGGCGGGACAAAAGGCCCGGGAAUGUAGCUCCCUCCGGGGAGUCUUAUAGCCCGGGUCGUCAUGCCGCCCGCCCGGACCGAGGACCGCGCUUCGGCUAGGAUGCUGGCGUAAUGGUUGCAAGCGACCCGUCUUGAAACACGGACCAAGGAGUCUAACAUCUAUGCGAGUGUUUGGGUGUCAAACCCAGGCGCGGAAUGAAAGUGAACGGAGGUGGGAGCUUCGGCGCACCAUCGACCGAUCCCGAUGUUUUCGGACGGAUUUGAGUAUGAGCAUAGCUGUUGGGACCCGAAAGAUGGUGAACUAUGCCCGGAUAGGGUGAAGCCAGAGGAAACUCUGGUGGAGGCUCGCAGCGGUUCUGACGUGCAAAUCGAUCGUCAAAUCUAGGCAUAGGGGCGAAAGACCAAUCGAACCAUCUAGUAGCUGGUUCCUGUCGAAGUUUCCCUCAGGAUAGCAGUAACGUUUUCAGUUUUAUGAGGUAAAGCGAAUGAUUAGAGGCCUUGGGGCUGAAACAGCCUUAACCUAUUCUCAAACUUUAAAUAUGUAAGAAGUCCUCGUUUCUUCGUUGAACGUGGACAUUCGAAUGCACCGUUACUAGUGGGCCAUUUUUGGUAAGCAGAACUGGCGAUGCGGGAUGAACCGAACGCGAGGUUAAGGUGCCGGAAUGCACGCUCAUCAGACACCACAAAAAGUGUCAAUUCAUCCAGACAGCCGGACGGUGGCCAUGGAAGUCGGAAUCCGCCAAGGAGUGUGUAACAACUCACCGGCCGAAUGAAUUGGCCUUGAAAAUGGAUGGCGCUCAAGCGUGCUACCCAUACCUCG